AGAUUGAACGCUGGCGGCAGGCCUAACACAUGCAAGUCGAGCGGCAGCACGGGUACUUGUACCUGGUGGCGAGCGGCGGACGGGUGAGUAAUGCCUAGGAAUCUGCCUGGUAGUGGGGGAUAACGCUCGGAAACGGACGCUAAUACCGCAUACGUCCUACGGGAGAAAGCAGGGGACCUUCGGGCCUUGCGCUAUCAGAUGAGCCUAGGUCGGAUUAGCUAGUUGGUGAGGUAAGUGGACUCACCAAGGCGACGAUCCGUAACGUGGUCUGAGAGGAUCGGAUCAGUCCAC
Molecule: ribosomal RNA, 291 nt
Filed under: uncultured soil bacterium
Lineage: Bacteria
Description: partial 16S ribosomal RNA
Rfam family: Bacterial small subunit ribosomal RNA
Source: RNAcentral